AUUACCGAGUUAGGGUCUCACCGGCCCGAUCUCCCAACCCUUUGUCUACUUGACCAUCGUUGCUUCGGCGAGCCCGUCCUCACGGACCGCCGGGGGGUCUUUGUACCCCUUGGCCCGCGCUCGUCGACAGCCCCCAAAUUUAAAAAAUCUUAACUAAACGUGUCUUGAAUCUAAGUAUUAUUGUUAAAUAAAAACAAAACUUUCAACAACGGAUCUCUUGGUUCUGGCAUCGAUGAAGAACGCAGCGAAAUGCGAUAAGUAAUGCGAAUUGCAGAAUUCCAGUGAGUCAUCGAAUCUUUGAACGCACAUUGCGCCCUUUGGUAUUCCGAAGGGCAUGCCUGUUCGAGCGUCAUUAUCACCCCUCAAGCCCUCGGCUUGGUGUUGGACGGCUUGGUGGAGACCCCCUUUGCGGGCUUCUACCCCUCCCAAAGACAAUGACGGCGGCCUCGUUGGACCCCCGGUACACUGAGUUCUUCACGGGACACGUAUCGGACACAUGGGUUCACGGGACACGGUCUGCCUCCCCUCAGGGAGAAUCUUUUUUUAUCAAGGUUGACCUCGGAUCAGGUAGGGAUACCCGCUGAACUUAAGCAUAUCAAUAAGCGGAGGAAAAGAAACCAACAGGGAUUGCCUCAGUAACGGCGAGUGAAGCGGCAACAGCUCAAAUUUGAAAUCUGGCCUCUUUGGGGUCCGAGUUGUAAUUUGUAGAGGAUGUUUCGGGUACCGCCUCGGUUUAAAUUUCUUGGAACAGAAUGUCAGAGAGGGUGAGAAUCCCGUC
Molecule: ribosomal RNA, 778 nt
Filed under: fungal sp.
Lineage: Eukaryota; Fungi
Description: eukaryotic LSU rRNA
Rfam family: Eukaryotic large subunit ribosomal RNA (bases 554-778)
Source: RNAcentral